GGAGAGGGCUGAUAUCUAGAGUCCUAUCCUGAAAAGACUUCUAACACAGCUCAGCUAUGGUCGUAUUAUGGAAAUUGUGGUACAAGAACCCUUGAGAACUGAGUGAACAGCAGGGGGCAGUGUUGGCCCAAUAGAACUGGUAAGAUGCAGCCCUGGCCCAACCUGGAAGAAGAAAUCGACUUACUGGCUAACAUGCUGGCCCAUCAAGACCCUGUCCCCCAUCGCCAGGAUACUGUCCCCCAGCGCUUCCGCUGGCCUGCAGCCACCCUGGUGUCCCCAGGACAGGAGCCUGAUACCCCAUCCCCUCAGGGCGCUCAAGUUCCCACCGUCAGAGCCUCUCAUUCAUCUUCGAGGCCUGUGGAGAUGUCACCUGUGGAUCCCCCACACCCAUCUAAUGAUGUCCUCGUUCUCAGUAGGUAGUGGUGGGGUUCCUAGGGGUGGUGGGAGGCACCAACGUGAGGGAGAAGGGAGGAUUCAGCCCCCUCUUGAUGGGAAGCAGUGUGGCAUACUGGACAGAGUGGAGUCAGGAGAGACUUGGGUUCAAAUCCCUGCUCCAACACUUACUAGCUAU
Molecule: long non-coding RNA, 571 nt
Filed under: Vombatus ursinus (common wombat)
Lineage: Eukaryota; Metazoa; Chordata; Mammalia; Diprotodontia; Vombatidae
Description: lncRNA (ENSVURG00010020122.1)
Source: RNAcentral